Molecule: ribosomal RNA, 749 nt
Filed under: uncultured cyanobacterium
Lineage: Bacteria; Bacillati; Cyanobacteriota
Description: bacterial SSU rRNA
Rfam family: Bacterial small subunit ribosomal RNA
Source: RNAcentral
ACCUUCGGGUUAGUGGCGGACGGGUGAGUAACGCGUGAGAAUCUGCCCUCAGGAGGGGGAUAACGGCUGGAAACGGCCGCUAAUACCCCAUAUGCCGAGAGGUGAAAUGAAUUUCGCCUGAGGAUGAGCUCGCGUCUGAUUAGCUAGUUGGUGGGGUAAGAGCCUACCAAGGCUUCGAUCAGUAGCUGGUCUGAGAGGAUGAUCAGCCACACUGGGACUGAGACACGGCCCAGACUCCUACGGGAGGCAGCAGUGGGGAAUUUUCCGCAAUGGGCGAAAGCCUGACGGAGCAACGCCGCGUGAGGGAUGAAGGCCUCUGGGCUGUAAACCUCUUUUCUCAAGGAAGAAGAUCUGACGGUACUUGAGGAAUAAGCCACGGCUAAUUCCGUGCCAGCAGCCGCGGUAAUACGGGAGUGGCAAGCGUUAUCCGGAAUUAUUGGGCGUAAAGCGUCCGCAGGCGGCCUCGUAAGUCUGUCGUUAAAGCGUGGAGCUUAACUCCAUUUCAGCGAUGGAAACUGCGAGGCUAGAGUGUGGUAGGGGCAGAGGGAAUUCCCGGUGUAGCGGUGAAAUGCGUAGAUAUCGGGAAGAACACCAGUGGCGAAGGCGCUCUGCUGGGCCAUAACUGACGCUCAUGGACGAAAGCCAGGGGAGCGAAAGGGAUUAGAUACCCCUGUAGUCCUGGCCGUAAACGAUGAACACUAGGUGUCGGGGGAAUCGACCCCCUCGGUGUCGUAGCCAACGCGUUAAGU